UGUAAAACACUUUUGAUUGGGAUCCA
RNAcentral lists this non-coding RNA (26 nucleotides) under Mus musculus (house mouse). Lineage: Eukaryota; Metazoa; Chordata; Mammalia; Rodentia; Muridae. The record is from RNAcentral.